Molecule: non-coding RNA, 78 nt
Filed under: unclassified sequences
Source: RNAcentral
AAGAAAUUGCCGCCGGGUAAAGCGUUGGAUUUUGUAUCGAUAGGCCAUAGGAGAUACAAUAUUCGGCGCUUUUUUAUG